AGUAAAAGUCGUAACAAGGUCUCCGUAGGUGAACCUGCGGAGGGAUCAUUACCGAGUGAGGGCCUCCGGGCUCGACCUCCAACCCCAUUGUAUUCCGACCUCUUGUUGCCUCGGGGGCGACCCGGCCUUCGGGCGUCGGGGCCCCCGGUGGACCAUCAAACUCUGCAUCUUUGACGUCUGAGUAAAUAUUGAAUCAAUCAAAACUUUUAACAACGGAUCUCUUGGUUCUGGCAUCGAUGAAGAACGCAGCGAAAUGCGAUAAGUAAUGUGAAUUGCAGAAUUCAGUGAAUCAUCGAAUCUUUGAACGCACAUUGCGCCCCUUGGUAUUCCGAGGGGCAUGCCUGUUCGAGCGUCAUUUCACCACUCAAGCCUGGCUUGGUAUUGGGCGCCGCGGUUUGCCGCGCGCCCCAAAGUCUCCGGCUGAGCCAACUGUCUCUAAGCGUUGUGGUUUAAUCAUCCGCUUGCGAGAUCGAAGGCGACGGCCGUUAAACUUAUUCAAAGGUUGACCUCGGAUCAGGUAGGGAUACCCGCUGAACUUAAGCAUAUCAAUAAGCGGAGGAAAAGAAACCAACAGGGAUUGCCCUAGUAACG
Molecule: ribosomal RNA, 591 nt
Filed under: uncultured fungus
Lineage: Eukaryota; Fungi
Description: eukaryotic LSU rRNA
Rfam family: 5.8S ribosomal RNA (bases 202-355)
Source: RNAcentral